Molecule: ribosomal RNA, 342 nt
Filed under: Parathelphusa sp. 5 SK-2012
Lineage: Eukaryota; Metazoa; Arthropoda; Malacostraca; Decapoda; Gecarcinucidae
Description: partial 16S ribosomal RNA
Source: RNAcentral
GUCUAUUUGGAGUUAUAAAAAGUCUAACCUGCCCCCUGAAAAUUUAAGGGCCGCAGUAUUAUGACUGUGCAAAGGUAGCAAAAUCAUUAGGUUUUUAAAUGGAAUCUUGUAUGAAGGGUUGGACAAAGGGAAAGCUGUCUUUAUUUUAAAAUUUGAAUUUUACUUUUAAGUGAGAAGGCUUAAAUAUUUUAGAGGGACGAUAAGACCCUAUAAAGCUUUACAUUGUAAUAUAUAUUUGAUUAAAUUUAAAAAUAAAAAUUUAAUAUAGUUAUUUGUUUUAUUGGGGRGAUAGAAGUAUAAAUAAUAUUAGCUGUUUUUGRUUAAAAACGUUUAUUUAUGGAU